This 74-nucleotide transfer RNA is filed under the name Leptomonas seymouri. RNAcentral's name for it is "tRNA-Ile". It matches the Rfam family "tRNA". Rfam says of the family: Transfer RNA (tRNA) molecules are approximately 80 nucleotides in length. Their secondary structure includes four short double-helical elements and three loops (D, anti-codon, and T loops). Lineage: Eukaryota; Euglenozoa; Kinetoplastea; Trypanosomatida; Trypanosomatidae. The record is from RNAcentral.
GCUCCUGUGGUCUAGUCGGUUAGGACGCUGGUCUUAUGAACCGGAUAUCGCGGGUUCGAGCCCCGCCAGGAGCA